Molecule: long non-coding RNA, 345 nt
Filed under: Rattus norvegicus (Norway rat)
Lineage: Eukaryota; Metazoa; Chordata; Mammalia; Rodentia; Muridae
Description: long non-coding RNA NONRATT027437
Source: RNAcentral
CCACUUGGCAGUCCAAUCCCUGCAGGUAAAUGUGUGUCCAUGUGUGUCUGCGUCCAUCCCCACACGCACGUGCCAUGGAAGUCAGGAGAGAGCACUGGAAUCCCUGGAGCUGUAACUACGGUCGGAUGUGAGCUGCCUGAUGUGGUGUUAGGGACUAGAUUCAGGUCCUCUGGAAGAACAGCAAGUUCUGGGGAGCCAUCUUUCCAGCUCCUGGCUCUGCUUCUGAUGUUUGGUCGCAGACAGCCCUCAAACCUACAUCUGACAAGCCAAGAGCACCGGCCUGCUCCACUGAUAUCUGGGAAAUUCAAAGCUCAUACAGAAACUAUUAAAGCCAGUCCUUCCUUA